Molecule: small RNA, 214 nt
Filed under: Marmota monax (woodchuck)
Lineage: Eukaryota; Metazoa; Chordata; Mammalia; Rodentia; Sciuridae
Source: RNAcentral
GCUGGGCAAGGUGGUGCACGCCUGUUAUCCCAGAAGCUCAGGAGGCUGAGGCUGGAGGAUCAGAAGGCGGAGGCCAGCCUCAACAUCUUAGCAAGGCCCUAAGCAACUCAGUGAGACCCUGUCUCUAAAUAAAAUACAAAACGGGGUCUCGCUGAGUUGCUUAGGGCCUCACUAAGUUGCUGAGGCUGGCCUCCAACUUUCGAUCCUCCUGCCU